GUAACAGUUAUUGAGGAGGCUCAACAUGAUAAAGGCUAGAUAUUUAUGCUAACACUUAACCAGUUCCACAAAGCUUUGUUGUCUAUUAGAGCUCCACAGAAUUCAAGGAUCAAAGAAGACUAGCAGACGGAGGACAUCCUAAUCGCUGUCAGGGUGCUGCCGACAUUCAAAUACACCUCCACCACCUGCUAGCUACAUCAGAAGAAAUUACGUCAAAAUCCAGCUUGGGGGAGAGCACCCCCAUUUAUCCAGCUAAGUGUUUCUACUCACGUUUAUACUUUACUCAAAUAAUAAAAGAUGCAUAAUCAUGAAAACCCAAAUAAAGAUUUUGUGCUUUUAUAUAUAUAUCUUUGCUUAGUUUGCUAAAUAAAUAAAUAAAUAAAGUUUGCUAUGAACCCUCAUGAUAAACUCUCACAUGGAAAUGAUGAAUAGUUGCUCUGCCAUGACUAGUUCUUAAAAUUGAAAUCUCUCUCAAGUUUAGGCAUGACUGUUAU
RNAcentral lists this long non-coding RNA (494 nucleotides) under Sorghum bicolor (sorghum). RNAcentral describes it as "long non-coding RNA (SBIC_LNC012480)". Lineage: Eukaryota; Viridiplantae; Streptophyta; Magnoliopsida; Poales; Poaceae. The record is from RNAcentral.